GUUGUUCUGCCAAGGGCAUGGCUGGGUAGCUAUGUACGGAAUGGAUAAGCGCUGAAAGCAUCUAAGCGCGAAGCCAACUUCAAGAUAAGAUUUCCCACCGCAAGGGUAAGACUCCAGAAAGACUAUCUGGUUGAUAGGUCGAAGGUGUAAGUGCAGCAAUGUAUUUAGCUUAUCGAUACUAAUAGGUCGAGGACUUGACCAAU
RNAcentral lists this ribosomal RNA (203 nucleotides) under Clostridioides difficile. Its description in RNAcentral is "partial 23S ribosomal RNA". It matches the Rfam family "Bacterial large subunit ribosomal RNA", at positions 2720 to 2925 of the family's 2925-position model. The record is from RNAcentral. Lineage: Bacteria; Bacillati; Bacillota; Clostridia; Peptostreptococcales; Peptostreptococcaceae.